UACGGGGGGGGGCAAGCGUUGUUCGGAAUUACUGGGCGUAAAGGGUUCGUAGGUGGCCAACUAAGUCAGACGUGAAAUCCCUCAGCUCAACUGGGGAACUGCGUCUGAUACUGAUUGGCUUGAGUGCAGGAGAGGAGCGCGGAAUUCCAGGUGUAGCGGUGAAAUGCGUAGAUAUCUGGAGGAACACCGGUGGCGAAGGCGGCGUUCUGGACUGCAACUGACACUGAGGAACGAAAGCCAGGGGAGCAAACGGG
Molecule: ribosomal RNA, 254 nt
Filed under: uncultured bacterium
Lineage: Bacteria
Description: partial 16S ribosomal RNA
Rfam family: Bacterial small subunit ribosomal RNA
Source: RNAcentral